UACGAAGGGGGCAAGCGUUGUUCGGAGUUACUGGGCGUAAAGGGCGCGUAGGCGGAUUCGUAAGUCAGAGGUGAAAGCCCUGGGCUCAACCCGGGAAAUGCCUUUGGAACUGCGAGUCUUGAGUGCGGGAGAGGAUGGCGGAAUACCCAGGGUAGAGGUGAAAUUCGUGGAUAUUUGGUAGGACACCGGUGGCGAAGGCGGCCAUCUGGCCCGUAACUGACGCUGAGGCGCGAAAGCGUGGGCAGCAACCUGG
Molecule: ribosomal RNA, 253 nt
Filed under: uncultured bacterium
Lineage: Bacteria
Description: partial 16S ribosomal RNA
Rfam family: Bacterial small subunit ribosomal RNA
Source: RNAcentral